RNAcentral lists this transfer RNA (77 nucleotides) under Porphyromonadaceae bacterium. RNAcentral describes it as "tRNA-Met". It matches the Rfam family "tRNA". Rfam says of the family: Transfer RNA (tRNA) molecules are approximately 80 nucleotides in length. Their secondary structure includes four short double-helical elements and three loops (D, anti-codon, and T loops). The record is from RNAcentral. Lineage: Bacteria; Pseudomonadati; Bacteroidota; Bacteroidia; Bacteroidales; Porphyromonadaceae.
GGCGAGAUAGCUCAGUUGGUUAGAGCGCUUGAUUCAUAAUCAUGAGGUCGGGGGAUCAUGCCCCCCUCUCGCUACCA